Molecule: small RNA, 39 nt
Filed under: Bombyx mori (domestic silkworm)
Lineage: Eukaryota; Metazoa; Arthropoda; Insecta; Lepidoptera; Bombycidae
Description: ovarian small RNA-14972
Source: RNAcentral
CUGUUUGUGAAUAGGAAUAUCACAAGCUGGAGGGCAAGU